This 380-nucleotide ribosomal RNA is filed under the name uncultured eukaryote. Its description in RNAcentral is "partial 18S ribosomal RNA". It matches the Rfam family "Eukaryotic small subunit ribosomal RNA", at positions 592 to 976 of the family's 1831-position model. The record is from RNAcentral.
CAAUAGCGUAUAUUAAAGUUGUUGCAGUUAAAACGCUCGUAGUCGGAUUUCGGGGCGGGUCCGCCGGUCUGCCGAUGGGUACGCACUGGCGGGCGCGUCCUUCCUUCCGGAGACUGGCCCUACUCUUAGCUGAGCGGGGUCGGGAGUCGGAUCGUUUACUUUGAAAAAAUCAGAGUGUUUCAAGCAGGCAGCUCGCUCUUGCAUGGAUUAGCAUGGGAUAAUGAAAUAGGACUUUGGUGCUAUUUUGUUGGUUUCGAACACCGAAGUAAUGAUUAACAGGGACAGUCAGGGGCACUCGUAUUCCGCCGAGAGAGGUGAAAUUCUCAGACCAGCGGAAGACGAACCACUGCGAAAGCAUUUGCCAGGGAUGUUUNCACUGA